AGCUGACAUCAGUCAGCCUCAGCUGAGCUUGUAGAUGUUAAUAAUUUAAUUUCAUUAAUUUAGGCCGUAGAUUAUGUAGUUCUUCAACUAUAUUGUAUAUUUUGUCCAACUUGCUUCUAAUCUAAAUAUCAGUUCUACAAAUGGAGGAACACAAAAGUAUAUGUCGCCUUUGUCUCGGUACAUGCCUAGAGUCAGACAGCAUUUCAGUGAACGAUGCUGAACUUCAAUUAAAAUUUCAGAUUGUGUUUAAAUUCGAAUUUUCCGACGAAGAGUGCUUCCCCAGAAGUGUUUGCCCAUUGUGUUCAUCUAAAGUCGUAGACUAUCACUUCUUCCACGAAAUGGUUCGUACAAAUCAAGCCCAACUCAAAAUAUUAUCCGACCAGGUAACGCAACAAUCGUCUUCAGACGAUAUCAAGAUAGAGUUUUCCUUGGAUUCGUUCGAUCACCAGAGCGAUAUCUCGUCUAAGUCGUAUAGUCCACCUGUCGACCGAGAUUCGGAAAACUUUGCUUCAACUCCUGACGUUAAAAAAGAAGAUGAGCUAUUGAAUGUUAGAAAGCGAAAACGAAAAAGGAAAGUAGAAACCAACACAACAGAAGCAAUAGAAAUUCUAGAAAAUGCAGAACACACCGAGGAAAAAGCGAGGAUGUUGGAAGAUGAAAAUAGAAAAAUUCAAGAGUUUUUUACGUUAAAUUGCGAAUCUUGCCCAGAAUCGUUCGAUUCUUUUUAUAGGCUUCAGAGGCAUACUCGAAAAAUUCAUAACGCUCGUGGUAGCAUCAAAUGCUGCAACCGCGUAUUUUAUAAGAAAUGUAAGAUCUUAGCUCACAUAAAUUCUCACCUGAAUCCUAGGCAGUUUCAUUGCGAUAUAUGCAACAAAAACUACAACGACAGAUACUAUCUUAAUUUACACCAGCUGAGAACGCAUAACAAUGGCAAGGAGAAGGCCUUCAAAUGUGACAAGUGUGCACAAGCAUUCCACAAGAAGUAUCUCUUGAAAGCCCAUCUCAGUACACACAUUCAAAUGGAGUGUUCGAUUUGCCACAAGAUCCUAGCGAGUGCAUCCACUCUGCGAUCACACAUGAUUAACAUGCACGGCGAAGAUACGAAACUUAUCUGCGACAGUUGUGGGCAAGAGUUCCGUACCAAGCUAGCUAUGGAGAGACACAUCAAGCGACACAUGGGAAUCGACCCUAUCGAGAGGGUCCAGUGUGACAUAUGCAGCAAGUGGGUGAACGGAAAACCCAACCUGAAGAUCCACAUCAAAACGGUCCACAGCGAGGAGAAGCAAACGGUCUCGUGUGAUCUGUGCCAGCAAAUCUAUCCAAACAUGCGUGCACUGAGCACCCACAAACGGCGCGUGCACGUAGAGGAGCGCUUCGAGUGUGAAUUUUGCGGGAAGAAAUUUAAACGGAAAAUCUACUGGAAGGAACAUCGCGCCUCACAUACGGGCCAGACACUGUACUCGUGUGAUGUCUGUGGAAUGACUACUAAUUCGAAUGCGAAUCUGUAUUCGCACAAGAAAAGCAAACACCCGGACGAGUGGAUGGAGGCGAGGAAAAAAGCUCUCGCGGCAGCAUACGGCCAAUCGAGUGGUGCUGGUAGAGAUGACGUUCCUGUUUGAAAUUGUUGUUGAUUGCGAGUUGUUGUUGGUUCAACUCAGUCAGCACGGCAAUUAAAGUGUGUGUCGGUCUAGUCUCGAGAACACCACGAUUUGUAUAAAGAAAAACUCGUUUUCUUGUAUGAAAUUGGAUAUCGAUAGAAGAGUAGUACAAAAUUGAAGAAUUGGUAAACUAAAAGCAAAGAGAGUGACUUGAAGAGUUGGCAGUACGUUUAGAAAAUCUAUCGACGAAGAAAAGCACGCGAGGUGAAAGUAGCAGAAACAAAGUGAGGUUAUAGCAGGAAUUGGUUAUCCCUCGGAUACCGGACGAAUAAGUGAAGGAAAAAAGAUGGCGGACAGCAAACCAAACAACAAGAAAAAUUUGAAUGCACCAUCUGGGACGAGGCUCCAUACCGAGUUUACUUCGAGCUGUAAGGUGGAUCACAAGCCGGAUGAAUGAACAAAUUUUCACUGGGAUCAAAGCUGCGGCCGAUUCCAAUCCACUUCUGGACGGUUUAGCAAUAUGUUUGAUUUGUUCAAAACAAGAGAAUUGAAAAUUUGCAGACAUUACGUAUUUCAUGAAAAAAGCAGCUUUGGAUUUGUAUAGAAAAACUCAUAGUAAGAGAACUGCGGAGAAAAAAACAGCAUUUUUGGCAACGUAUGCCCCGGCAUUGUAUGGCAACACGUCCAAUGUUAUAAGGAUACACGGUUAAAUAAAACAACCUGCAGAAUAAGUUCUUUUAACGUACUUUUGAGUUGUGCGUCGCUUUCGCACUUAUUAGUGUUGUCAAAAACAAAACGAGAGGUUCGACUCAGUCGAGGUCUUCCGUGGAGGAAGGUACUUUUG
Topomyia yanbarensis is the source of this 2442-nucleotide RNA transcript. It is a transcript of the gene named transcription factor grauzone-like, with no coding region annotated. Lineage: Eukaryota; Metazoa; Arthropoda; Insecta; Diptera; Culicidae. The record is from RefSeq and is a predicted model, not a curated record. The transcript is spliced from 3 exons.